This 433-nucleotide ribosomal RNA is filed under the name uncultured bacterium. RNAcentral's name for it is "bacterial SSU rRNA". It matches the Rfam family "Bacterial small subunit ribosomal RNA", at positions 355 to 796 of the family's 1533-position model. The record is from RNAcentral.
UCGAGGAUCUUCGGCAAUGGGCGCAAGCCUGACCGAGCGACGCCGCGUGUGCGAUGAAGGCCUUCGGGUUGUAAAGCACUGUCGAGGGGGAGAAAGCCCGCAAGGGUUGAUCGACCCCUGGAGGAAGCACGGGCUAAGUUCGUGCCAGCAGCCGCGGUAAGACGAACCGUGCAAACGUUGUUCGGAAUCACUGGGCUUAAAGGGCGCGUAGGCGGGUCAUCCAGUCCGUGGUGAAAGCCCCCAGCUCAACUGGGGAAGUGCCGUGGAUACUGAUGAUCUUGAGGGAGGUAGGGGCAUGUGGAACUUCCGGUGGAGCGGUGAAAUGCGUAGAUAUCGGAAGGAACGCCGGUGGCGAAAGCGACGUGCUGGACCUCUUCUGACGCUGAGGCGCGAAAGCUAGGGGAGCAAACGGGAUUAGAUACCCCCGUAGUCC